Molecule: long non-coding RNA, 500 nt
Organism: Eleginops maclovinus (Patagonian blennie)
Lineage: Eukaryota; Metazoa; Chordata; Actinopteri; Perciformes; Eleginopidae
Exons: 3
Source: RefSeq, a predicted model, not a curated record
AUCCUCAGUGCCUUUGAGUUCCAGAAGGCCUGGGACCACCGGACUGUUAUUGAUCGUAUCAGACAAGGCUUUGGUGAGCAUAUUCCGGAGGACGUCAGCCUCCAGCUUGUAAUGUCUUGUGGCAAUAAGUUGGUGUCCCCUAAGAUCCAGGAGGGUCAGGAGCUGAAUGGGAUGCUAAUCCACAAGGUUUUUUAAAACCAAAGCCCUGUAUGUAAGACCAUCAAGGACCCUUUUAACUGACUCAGAGGAGGAAAGUGAACUUUCUGCCACUGACAGAUCAACUGCUAAGGACAGUGAUGAGGAUUGUUGUGAAAUCCUGCAAAUCCCUGCAGGCAUGAGCAGCUGUGUCACCACCAGGGCAGCCUCAAGAGCAAUGAGAAAUAAUGAUCCCUGUACUGGCAAUAUUGAUGGUGAAGGCAAUCCUGGCACUGGCACUGGUAUUGACGAUGAUUAUAAUGAUGAUGCCACCAACCACCCAGCUACCAGUGCUGUUAAAAGGA